AAGUCGUAACAAGGUCUCCGUUGGUGAACCAGCGGAGGGAUCAUUACCGAGUUUACAACUCCCAACCCUAUGUGAACAUACCAAGUUGCUUCGGCGGACUCGCCCCGGCGCCCGGACGGCCUCUGCGCCGGACCGCGGCCCGGACCCAGGCGGCCGCCGGGGACCCACAAACCCUGUAUUAUCAGCAUCUUCUGAAUCCGCCGCAAGGCAAAACAAAUGAAUCAAAACUUUCAACAACGGAUCUCUUGGUUCUG
This 254-nucleotide unclassified non-coding RNA is filed under the name air metagenome. RNAcentral's name for it is "partial contains small subunit ribosomal RNA, internal transcribed spacer 1, and 5.8S ribosomal RNA". The stretch from base 1 to 46 matches the Rfam family "Eukaryotic small subunit ribosomal RNA", at positions 1786 to 1831 of the family's 1831-position model. The record is from RNAcentral.